This 264-nucleotide ribosomal RNA is filed under the name uncultured bacterium. Its description in RNAcentral is "partial 16S ribosomal RNA". The record is from RNAcentral.
CUGCUGCCUCCCGUAGGAGUUUGGGCCGUGUCUCAGUCCCAAUGUGGCCGUCCACCCUCUCAGGCCGGCUACUGAUCGUCGCCUUGGUGGGCCUCUACCCCGCCAACAAGCUAAUCAGACGCGGGCCCAUCUUACACCACCGGAGUUUUUCACACCGGGCCAUGCGGCCCUGUGCGCUUAUGCGGUAUUAGCACCUGUUUCCAGGUGUUAUCCCCCUGUGUAAGGCAGGUUACCCACGCGUUACUCACCCGUCCGCCACUCGAA